UACGUAGGGUGCAAGCGUUGUCCGGAAUUAUUGGGCGUAAAGAGCUCGUAGGCGGUUUGUCGCGUCGGCUGUGAAAACUUGGGGCUCAACCCCAAGCUUGCGGUCGAUACGGGCAGGCUAGAGUUCGGUAGGGGAGACUGGAAUUCCUGGUGUAGCGGUGAAAUGCGCAGAUAUCAGGAGGAACACCGGUGGCGAAGGCGGGUCUCUGGGCCGAUACUGACGCUGAGGAGCGAAAGCGUGGGGAGCGAACAGG
RNAcentral lists this ribosomal RNA (253 nucleotides) under uncultured bacterium. RNAcentral's name for it is "partial 16S ribosomal RNA". It matches the Rfam family "Bacterial small subunit ribosomal RNA", at positions 524 to 776 of the family's 1533-position model. The record is from RNAcentral.